Molecule: ribosomal RNA, 170 nt
Filed under: Apogonichthys ocellatus (ocellated cardinalfish)
Lineage: Eukaryota; Metazoa; Chordata; Actinopteri; Kurtiformes; Apogonidae
Description: partial 12S ribosomal RNA
Source: RNAcentral
UACCGCGGUUAUACGAGGAGCCCAAGCUGACAGUCUCCGGCGUAAAGGGUGGUUAAUGAGAACCUAGCAACUAAAGCCGAACAUCUCCAAGGUUGUAUAAUACAUUCGAAGAUAUGAAGCUCAACUACGAAAGUGGCUUUACACCUCUUGAAUCCACGAAAGCUAGGAAA